GCCGGGAUGGCGGAAUCGGUAGACGCAGCGGAUUCAAAAUCCGCCGUUGGAAACAACGUGGGGGUUCGAGUCCCCCUCCCGGCACCA
Molecule: transfer RNA, 87 nt
Filed under: Pseudomonadota bacterium
Lineage: Bacteria; Pseudomonadati; Pseudomonadota
Also listed under: 1 other name
Description: tRNA-Leu
Rfam family: tRNA
About the family: Transfer RNA (tRNA) molecules are approximately 80 nucleotides in length. Their secondary structure includes four short double-helical elements and three loops (D, anti-codon, and T loops).
Source: RNAcentral